RNAcentral lists this transfer RNA (75 nucleotides) under Candidatus Levybacteria bacterium RIFCSPLOWO2_02_FULL_36_8b. Its description in RNAcentral is "tRNA-Glu". The stretch from base 7 to 64 matches the Rfam family "tRNA", at positions 9 to 63 of the family's 71-position model. Rfam says of the family: Transfer RNA (tRNA) molecules are approximately 80 nucleotides in length. Their secondary structure includes four short double-helical elements and three loops (D, anti-codon, and T loops). Further hydrogen bonds mediate the characteristic L-shaped molecular structure. tRNAs have two regions of fundamental functional importance: the anti-codon, which is responsible for specific mRNA codon recognition, and the 3' end, to which the tRNAs corresponding amino acid is attached (by aminoacyl-tRNA synthetases). tRNAs cope with the degeneracy of the genetic code in two manners: having more than one tRNA (with a specific anti-codon) for a particular amino acid; and 'wobble' base-pairing, i.e. permitting non-standard base-pairing at the 3rd anti-codon position. The record is from RNAcentral. Lineage: Bacteria; Candidatus Levyibacteriota.
CGGGCAGGUCUAGUGGUCCAGGAUGUUACCUUCUCAAGGUAAAUAUCAGGGGUUCGAAUCCCCUAAGCGCUACCA